GAUGAACGCUGGCGGCGUGCCUAAUACAUGCAAGUCGAGCGAACGGACGAGAAGCUUGCUUCUCUGAUGUUAGCGGCGGACGGGUGAGUAACACGUGGAUAACCUACCUAUAAGACUGGGAUAACUUCGGGAAACCGGAGCUAAUACCGGAUAAUAUUUUGAACCGCAUGGUUCAAAAGUGAAAGACGGUCUUGCUGUCACUUAUAGAUGGAUCCGCGCUGCAUUAGCUAGUUGGUAAGGUAACGGCUUACCAAGGCAACGAUGCAUAGCCGACCUGAGAGGGUGAUCGGCCACACUGGAACUGAGACACGGUCCAGACUCCUACGGGAGGCAGCAGUAGGGAAUCUUCCGCAAUGGGCGAAAGCCUGACGGAGCAACGCCGCGUGAGUGAUGAAGGGCGUCGGAUCGUAAAACUCUGUUAUUAGGGAAGAACAUAUGUGUAAGUAACUGUGCACAUCUUGACGGUACCUAAUCAGAAAGCCACGGCUAACUACGUGC
RNAcentral lists this ribosomal RNA (498 nucleotides) under uncultured bacterium. Its description in RNAcentral is "partial 16S ribosomal RNA". It matches the Rfam family "Bacterial small subunit ribosomal RNA", at positions 28 to 508 of the family's 1533-position model. The record is from RNAcentral.